RNAcentral lists this unclassified non-coding RNA (178 nucleotides) under uncultured fungus. Its description in RNAcentral is "partial contains 18S rRNA, ITS1, 5.8S rRNA, ITS2 and 28S rRNA". Lineage: Eukaryota; Fungi. The record is from RNAcentral.
AAGGAUCAUUAUCAAUAUCAGCGGACUUCGGUCCCUGCUAUACCCUUGUCUUUUGCGUACCACACGUUUCCUCGGCGGGCUUGCCUGCCGAUAGGACAACCAUAAACCCUUUGUAGUUGCAAUCAGCGUCAGAAAAAAACAAUCGUUAAAACUUUCAACAACGGAUCUCUUGGUUCUG